UAGGGAGAUGUCCCAUCCAUCCCGCCUCGCGCCGCCGCCCCUCGGGAUCCCUCCCAAUCCCCACCUGCUCCUCAUCGAUCCAGAUGCCCGCGCCGCCGAUCCAAAAAUCCUCUCGGCCUCCAACCCGUAGCCCUCCACCUCUCGAUCUCUCCCCACCAACCAGCGCCUCCCCUGGAUCCCCUCAUCCAUCUAUUGCGGCCGCCUUCGUCCGCGACCAUAGGAGCAGGAGCUCCUACAGCCGCUAGCACCCGAGGCCUCAACCACCCGAGCACCGGCCGGCCACCGGAGCACCACCACCGGCGACCAGAACCAGGCCGUCCCCUACCUUCCCUUUUGUCUCCCAUCUCUCUUUCUUGCUGCCUCCUCCUCACCACUUUUCGUGCUGCUUCAGGGGCUCGCCAUGGAUUUGGAGCAGCGCUGCCCCGAGCUCUGCCUUGCUGCCGUUUUGCACCCGCUCCAGCCAGGAAAUGGACGGAUCCGUCUUCCCUGCGUCCGUCCCCUGCCUCUCCGCCUUGCCGGAGUCCAAGACAUCGCCGAACCCUUCGCUGCUUGGAGCCUCGGCUCACACCGCCCGGGUCCCGCAUCCCCGCCGGACCUCCCCAGCUUGUGGAGCCCCAAGACCCCGCCGCCAAGCCAGCCGGGAACCCCCGAGGAGCGCCGUCAAUCGUCCUCGUUCUCCACACCCGGAUUCCGUCAUCCUUGACCGGAUCUCUGCUCCAUCCCGCGACCCCGAGCUCGCCCGUUCGUUUCCUCUGCUCGAGCAACAGGACAAGCGCCCUCCUGGCCGCGUACGUCCCCGUUGACCCGAGCCUCCUCCUUGCCUCGCCUGGACCGCAAGAGCCAAGGCCCGGCAUCAACGGCGCCACUCCAAGGCCCAGCCGGCCUGCCCGCUAGGCCACAGCCAGCUUCCCUCAGCCGCAUCCACCGACCGGGCCGAAGCCCAUGGUUGUGCUUCUCCUUGAUAGUUCCAGUAAUGUUGCGACUGUCAGGAUCCGUUCGACUAUGUUGGUCGUAUACUUGAUGGAUUCAGUCUUCUUCCUAGCGGGAUUUCAGGCAAG
Long non-coding RNA from Aegilops tauschii subsp. strangulata, 1058 nucleotides. RefSeq lists it as uncharacterized. NCBI's taxonomy places the organism in Eukaryota, Viridiplantae, Streptophyta, Magnoliopsida, Poales, Poaceae. The record is from RefSeq and is a predicted model, not a curated record.